Molecule: ribosomal RNA, 459 nt
Filed under: Triticum aestivum (bread wheat)
Lineage: Eukaryota; Viridiplantae; Streptophyta; Magnoliopsida; Poales; Poaceae
Description: partial small subunit ribosomal RNA
Source: RNAcentral
AUGGUGGCGGCCGGCUGCAAGACCUUGCCGGACGAGUGCAAGAGCCUGUGGCGCAUCGCCGGGCCGGUGAUCCUCACCGGGCUCUUCCAGUUCCUCAUCGAGUUCGUCACCGUGGCCUUCGCCGGCCACAUCGGCAAGGUCGAGCUCGCCGCCGUCUCCACCGUCAUCAACGUCAUCCAAGGCCUCAGCUUGGGUCUUACCCAGCCACCACUCGCGCCUCCUCCUACCGCCACUGCCGCCAGCGUGGGCCACGGUGGCGGCAGGCCCGGCGCCGAAGGCACCUGGGUGGGCGAAGGCUGCGGGAUCCCAUCUGAGGCGGUAGGGGCGGCACCUCUCCUGGGAGUCCUAGGGCGGCGGCCCUAUGCCGCGUGGCGGUGGCCACAGUUCCAUGGCCGGCGGAGCGGCGGCCCUGAGAUGGACGGCGGCGGUGGCAGCGCCCCAUCCGGCGGGGUUGGCUGA